This 468-nucleotide ribosomal RNA is filed under the name uncultured bacterium. Its description in RNAcentral is "partial 16S ribosomal RNA". It matches the Rfam family "Bacterial small subunit ribosomal RNA", at positions 28 to 507 of the family's 1533-position model. The record is from RNAcentral.
GACGAACGCUGGCGGCGUGCUUAACACAUGCAAGUCGAACGGAAAGGUCCUGGUUUUGUGGGGUGCUCGAGUGGCGAACGGGUGAGUAACACGUGAGUAACCUGCCCUUGACUUUGGGAUAACUUCAGGCAACUGGGGCCAAUACCGGAUAGGAGCUCCUGCUGCUAGGUGGGGGCUGGACAGUUUCGGCGGUUGGGGAUGGACUCGCGGCGUAUCAGCUUGUUGGUGGGGUAGUGGCAUACCAAGGCUUUGACGGGUAGCCGGGCUGAGAGGAUGACCGGACACAUUGGGACUGAGAUGAGGCACAGACUCAUACGGGAGGCAACGGAGGGGUAGAUUGCACAAUGGGAGGGGGGCUGAUGCAGCAACGCCGCGUGCGGGAUAUGGUCCUGGGGGUAGUAAACCAAUUUCGUCUGUGACGAGGCGUUAGUGACGGUAAUGGGUAAAGAAGCACCGGCUAACUACGUG